AUCCAGACUCCUACGGGAGGCAGCAGUGGGGAAUAUUGCACAAUGGGGGAAACCCUGAUGCAGCGACGCCGCGUGAAGGAUGAAGUAUUUCGGUAUGUAAACUUCUAUCAGCAGGGAAGAAAAUGACGGUACCUGACUAAGAAGCCCCGGCUAACUACGUGCCAGCAGCCGCGGUAAUACGUAGGGGGCAAGCGUUAUCCGGAUUUACUGGGUGUAAAGGGAGCGUAGACGGCGAAGAAAGUCUGAAGUGAAAGCCCGCGGCUUAACCGCGGAACUGCUUUGGAAACUUUUUUGCUGGAGUACCGGAGAGGUAAGCGGAAUUCCUAGUGUAGCGGUGAAAUGCGUAGAUAUUAGGAGGAACACCAGUGGCGAAGGCGGCUUACUGGACGGUAACUGACGUUGAGGCUCGAAAGCGUGGGGAGUAAACAGGAUUAGAUACCCCCGUAGAA
RNAcentral lists this ribosomal RNA (449 nucleotides) under uncultured bacterium. Its description in RNAcentral is "partial 16S ribosomal RNA". It matches the Rfam family "Bacterial small subunit ribosomal RNA", at positions 329 to 794 of the family's 1533-position model. The record is from RNAcentral.